AUGUGCUGUGACAUAUGUGACCAGUGGUUCCAUGGCAAAUAUGUGAACAUAACUGCCACUGAAGCAAAACAUCUCAAAGAAUUCAAGUGUGCUGACUGCAUCGGCGAAGAGAUCGGAGAGUAG
This 123-nucleotide ribosomal RNA is filed under the name Triticum aestivum (bread wheat). Its description in RNAcentral is "partial small subunit ribosomal RNA". Lineage: Eukaryota; Viridiplantae; Streptophyta; Magnoliopsida; Poales; Poaceae. The record is from RNAcentral.